UGGGGGAUAUUGCACAAUGGGCGAAAGCCUGAUGCAGCGACGCCGCGUGGGGGAUGAAGGCUUUCGGGUUGUAAACCUCUUUCGCUAUCGAACAAGGCCCGAUUAGGGUGGGUUGAGGGUAGGUGGAGAAGAAGCGCCGGCUAACUACGUGCCAGCAGCCGCGGUAAUACGUAGGGCGCGAGCGUUGUCCGGAAUUAUUGGCCGUAAAGGGCUUGUAGGCGGCUUGUUGCGCCUGCUGUGAAAACGCGGGGCUUAACUUCGCGCGUGCAGUGGGUACGGGCAGGCUUGAGUGUGGUAGGGGUGACUGGAAUUCCAGGUGUAGCGGUGGAAUGCGCAGAUAUCUGGAGGAACACCGAUGGCGAAGGCAGGUCACUGGGCCAUUACUGACGCUGAGGAGCGAAAGCAUGGGUAGCGAGCAGG
This 420-nucleotide ribosomal RNA is filed under the name bacterium. Its description in RNAcentral is "partial 16S ribosomal RNA". It matches the Rfam family "Bacterial small subunit ribosomal RNA", at positions 355 to 776 of the family's 1533-position model. The record is from RNAcentral.